CCCUGUAUUCGAAAGUGAUUAUGGGCUGCCUGUGCCCUGGUCAUUGAUAGUGCAGGGAGAAGAACUGCUGAAGGCCUUUUCCCCGUGUUUGGAGGGUCUGCUUCAUCCCUUCUAAACCCUGGUGCUUUCCUACA
Molecule: small nucleolar RNA, 134 nt
Organism: Dipodomys ordii (Ord's kangaroo rat)
Lineage: Eukaryota; Metazoa; Chordata; Mammalia; Rodentia; Heteromyidae
Gene: SNORA71
Rfam family: Small nucleolar RNA SNORA71
About the family: The members of this family belong to the H/ACA class of snoRNAs which bind a number of proteins (including dyskerin, Gar1p and Nop10p) to form snoRNP complexes. This class of snoRNAs are thought to guide the sites of modification of uridines to pseudouridines by forming direct base pairing interactions with substrate RNAs.
Source: Ensembl